UGGGGAAUCUUGCGCAAUGGACGAAAGUCUGACGCAGCGACGCCGCGUGGGCGAUGAAGGCCUUCGGGUCGUAAAGCCCUGUCAGCAGGGAGUAAGGUCUGCGACCUAACACGUCGCAGGCUUGAAAGUACCUGCAGAGGAAGCACCGGCUAACUCUGUGCCAGCAGCCGCGGUAAUACAGAGGGUGCGAGCGUUGUUCGAAAUCAUUGGGCGUAAAGCGCGUGUAGGCGGCGUGGCAAGUCUGGUGUGA
This 250-nucleotide ribosomal RNA is filed under the name uncultured bacterium. Its description in RNAcentral is "partial 16S ribosomal RNA". It matches the Rfam family "Bacterial small subunit ribosomal RNA", at positions 355 to 597 of the family's 1533-position model. The record is from RNAcentral.